GGGCUAAUUCCCCAUAAAUACAGAUGGCUGGAAUGCUUCUGUAUUCAAAGCUCCGGCGCCUGAGGAUGAGUCUGCGGCCUAUCAGGUUGUAGUCAGGGUCAUGACCUGACUAGCCAGCGACGGGUAUGGGGUGUGAGAGCACUUGCCCAGAGAUGGUUUCUGAGACACGAAACCAGGCCCUACGGGGCGCAGCAGGCGCGAAAACUUCGCAAUGCGGGAAACCGUGACGAGGGGAUUCCAAGUGUCUAUGCAUUGCAUAGACUGUUUUUUAGCCUAAAUAGCUAUUAGAGUAAGGGGUGGGCAAGACCGGUGCCAGCCGCCGCGGUAACACCGGCACCUCGAGUGGUAGCCACUAUUAUUGGGCCUAAAGCGUUCGUAGCCGGUUUGGUAAAUUCUUGGGUAAAUCGUACCGCUUAACGGUGCGGAUUCCGAGGACACUACCAGACUUGAGACCGGGGGAGAUCAGAGGUACUUGUGGGGGAGCGGUGAAAUGUUGUAAUCCCACAGGGACCACCAGUGGCGAAGGCGUCUGAUCAGAACGGCUCUGACGGUGAGGAACGAAACCCUGGGGCGCAAACGGGAUUAGAUACCCCGGUAGUCCAGGGCGUAAACGCUGC
RNAcentral lists this ribosomal RNA (617 nucleotides) under uncultured archaeon. Its description in RNAcentral is "bacterial SSU rRNA". It matches the Rfam family "Archaeal small subunit ribosomal RNA", at positions 143 to 763 of the family's 1478-position model. The record is from RNAcentral.